GACGAACGCUGGCGGCGUGCUUAACACAUGCAAGUCGAACGGAAAGGCCCUGCUUUUGUGGGGUGCUCGAGUGGCGAACGGGUGAGUAACACGUGAGUAACCUGCCCUUGACUUUGGGAUAACUUCAGGAAACUGGGGCUAAUACCGGAUAGGAGCUCCUGCUGCAUGGUGGGGGUUGGAAAGUUUCGGCGGUUGGGGAUGGACUCGCGGCUUAUCAGCUUGUUGGUGGGGUAGUGGCUUACCAAGGCUUUGACGGGUAGCCGGCCUGAGGGGGUGACCGGCCACAUUAGGACUGAGAUACGGCCCAGACUCCUACGGGAGGCAGCAGUGGGGAAUAUUGCACAAUGGGCGGAAGCCUGAUGCAGCAACGCCGCGUGCGGGAUGACGGCCUUCGGGUUGUAAACCGCUUUCGCCUGUGACGAAGCGUGAGUGACGGUAAUGGGUAAAGAAGCACCGGCUAACUACGUG
This 468-nucleotide ribosomal RNA is filed under the name uncultured bacterium. RNAcentral describes it as "partial 16S ribosomal RNA". It matches the Rfam family "Bacterial small subunit ribosomal RNA", at positions 28 to 507 of the family's 1533-position model. The record is from RNAcentral.